GGAGGUGUAGCUCAGCGGUAGAGCACUUGCUUAGCAUGCAUGAGGCCUGGUUUUGGUCCCCAGCACCACCA
Molecule: transfer RNA, 71 nt
Filed under: Heterocephalus glaber (naked mole-rat)
Lineage: Eukaryota; Metazoa; Chordata; Mammalia; Rodentia; Bathyergidae
Rfam family: tRNA
About the family: Transfer RNA (tRNA) molecules are approximately 80 nucleotides in length.
Source: Rfam by way of RNAcentral